Molecule: ribosomal RNA, 170 nt
Filed under: Oncorhynchus mykiss (rainbow trout)
Lineage: Eukaryota; Metazoa; Chordata; Actinopteri; Salmoniformes; Salmonidae
Description: partial 12S rRNA
Source: RNAcentral
CACCGCGGUUAUACGAGAGGCCCUAGUUGAUAACUACCGGCGUAAAGAGUGGUUUUGGAAAAAUAUUUAAUAAAGCCGAACACCCCCUCAGCCGUCAUACGCACCUGGGAGCACGAAGACCUACUGCGAAAGCAGCUUUAACUAUGCCUGACCCCACGACAGCUAAGAAA